UUUAGUAUAUAUCCAAAAAUUUAUAAAAAAAUUAUUUAAAAUUUUUUUUUUUGAGAAAUAGGUAGUAAGCUACCUGCUUCACUCAUUAAGCAAAAUGAAUUAAGCGUACAAAAUGGAAGCAGCCAGGGCCUCCGAAAGAACAGGCAAAAAAUGAUGAAAUAAAAUUGAAAGGUAGAAAGAAAACAAAAAGAACGGAAAGAGGAGGGGUGUUAAUAGGGAGAGAAGGGAUAGUAGCUGGAACCGAAACGACACAUCACAGCAAAGAGUUCCAGUCGUUUAGCAGAAGUUUGACAUGUUCAAGAGACCGGGUAGCACUGUGUGUGGUUCCUCGGAAAAUUAUUUAAAAAUUAUAAGCGAGAAUUAAAAUAUG
Molecule: long non-coding RNA, 370 nt
Filed under: Ananas comosus (pineapple)
Lineage: Eukaryota; Viridiplantae; Streptophyta; Magnoliopsida; Poales; Bromeliaceae
Description: long non-coding RNA (ACOM_LNC039462)
Source: RNAcentral